UGCGGUAAUUCCAGCUCCAAUAGCGUAUAUUAAAGUUGUUGCAGUUAAAAAGCUCGUAGUUGAAUUUCGGGAUUGACACAUCGGUCGUGCCUUAAGGGGUAUGAACUGGUGUAGUCAAUUUCUCACCUUCUGGAGAACCGCGAUGCCCUUAAUUGGGUGUCACGGGGAACCAGGACCUUUACUUUGAAAAAAUUAGAGUGUUUAAAGCAGGCAUUUUGCUUGAAUACAUUAGCAUGGAAUAAUAAAAUAGGACGGCAUGAUUCUAUUUUGUUGGUUUCUAGGAUCACCGUAAUGAUUAAUAGGGAUAGUUGGGGGCAUUAGUAUUCAAUUGUCAGAGGUGAAAUUCUUGGAUUUAUUGAAGACUAACUACUGCGAAAGCAUUUGCCAAGGAUGUUUUCAUUAAUCAAGAACGAAAGUUAGGGGAUCGAAGACGAUCAGAUACCGUCGUAGUCUUAACCAUAAACUAUGCCGACUAGGAAUCAGACGAUGUUAAUUAG
Molecule: ribosomal RNA, 497 nt
Filed under: Entrophospora sp. 2 GS-2015
Lineage: Eukaryota; Fungi; Glomeromycota; Glomeromycetes; Entrophosporales; Entrophosporaceae
Description: SSU rRNA
Rfam family: Eukaryotic small subunit ribosomal RNA
Source: RNAcentral